GAUGAACGCUGGCGGCGUGCCUAAUACAUGCAAGUCGAGCGAACGGACGAGAAGCUUGCUUUUCUGAUGUUAGCGGCGGACGGGUGAGUAACACGUGGAUAACCUACCUAUAAGACUGGGAUAACUUCGGGAAACCGGAGCUAAUACCGGAUAAUAUUUUGAACCGCAUGGUUCAAAAGUGAAAGACGGUCUUGCUGUCACUUAUAGAUGUAUCCGCGCUGCAUUAGCUAGUUGGUAAGGUAACGGCUUACCAAGGCAACGAUGCAUAGCCGACCUGAGAGGGUGAUCGGCCACACUGGAACUGAGACACGGUCCAGACUCCUACGGGAGGCAGAAGUAGGGAAUCUUCCGCAAUGGGCGAAAGCCUGACGGAGCAACGCCGCGUGAGUGAUGAAGGUCUUCGGAUCGUAAAACUCUGUUAUUAGGGAAGAACAUAUGUGUAAGUAACUGUGCACAUCUUGACGGUACCUAAUCAGAAAGCCACGGCUAACUACGUG
RNAcentral lists this ribosomal RNA (497 nucleotides) under uncultured bacterium. Its description in RNAcentral is "partial 16S ribosomal RNA". It matches the Rfam family "Bacterial small subunit ribosomal RNA", at positions 28 to 507 of the family's 1533-position model. The record is from RNAcentral.